This 391-nucleotide ribosomal RNA is filed under the name uncultured bacterium. RNAcentral's name for it is "bacterial SSU rRNA". It matches the Rfam family "Bacterial small subunit ribosomal RNA", at positions 8 to 429 of the family's 1533-position model. The record is from RNAcentral.
AGAGUUUGAUCCUGGCUCAGAGCGAACGCUGGCGGCAGGCCUAACACAUGCAAGUCGAGCGCCCCGCAAGGGGAGCGGCAGACGGGAGAGUAACACGUGGGAACGUGCCCUUUGGUUCGGAACAACACAGGGAAACUUGUGCUAAUACCGGAUAAGUCCGUAAGGAGAAAGAUUUAUCGCCAAAGGAUCGGCCCGCGUCUGAUUAGCUUGUUGGUGAGGUAACGGCUCACCAAGGCGACGAUCAGUAGCUGGUCUGAGAGGAUGAUCAGCCUCACUGGGACUGAGACACGGCCCAGACUCCUACGGGAGGCAGCAGUGGGGAAUAUUGGACAAUGGGCGCAAGCCUGAUCCAGCCAUGCCGCGUGGAUGAUGAAGGCCCUAGGGUUGUAAA